GGCAUUUUCCAGUGCCUGCACCAAAUCAGGAAGCUCCUAGUCUGUGCCCCAAGAUCACGCCUCAUUUGGAGGUCACACGAGGCCUGGCUGGUGGGUCCUACCAGAGCACUGGAUCUGGAGAGUGGAGGAAGCACUGGGUGCCGGGGUUUGGGCUCGGGGCCAUGUACGCCUCCUCCGGGGUUUGGGCUCGGGGCCAUGUACGCCUCCUCCUACCCCCCACCCCAGCAGCUGUCCCCUAGAAGCCGCCUUUGCCCACCUCCACCCCACCCCAGCUCAAUAAUCUGCUUCUUCUAGAAGGAAGGAAAUCGUCUGUUCCCUCUGUAGCCCCCACUGGGAGCACCUCAGCUGCUGAGGACGGUGAUCUGCUGGCUCAGCCUUGGUACUCGGGGAACUGUGACCGCUAUGCUGUUGAGAGUGCCCUGCUCCACUUACAAAAGGAUGGGGCCUAUACCGUGCGCCCCAGCUCAGGGCCUCAUGGCUCCCAGCCCUUCACCCUGGCAGUGCUUCUCCGAGGCCGGGUCUUCAACAUUCCCAUCCGGCGGCUGGAUGGCGGACGCCACUAUGCCCUGGGCCGGGAGGGCAGGAACCAUGAGGAGCUCUUCUCCUCCGUGGCGGCCAUGGUCCAGCACUUCAUGUGGCACCCUCUGCCCCUUGUGGACAGACACAGCGGCAGCCGGGAACUCACCUGCCUGCUCUUCCCCACCAAGCCUUGAGGCCACAGCGAAGAAUGCAGGUGUCUGCCCAGUUCACUAGGUCCUGGAUGAAGGAACCGUGGUGGCCUAGACCAGUCAGGGGACAGCACAGGCACUGCCGGAACAGCAAAGGAUCCUCUCACAUCUACUUGUGGGCCUAGGGCACCCUGAGAGGGACUGGCCUACCUUGCACAAGUUCGCAUUCAAUAAACAUUUGUUGAAUGAA
RNAcentral lists this small RNA (918 nucleotides) under Pan troglodytes (chimpanzee). Its description in RNAcentral is "retained intron". Lineage: Eukaryota; Metazoa; Chordata; Mammalia; Primates; Hominidae. The record is from RNAcentral.